GCUGGGCAUGGCAGUGCGCGCCUGUAGUUCCAGCUACUCAGGAGGCUGAGGCGACAAGAUAGCUUGAGCCCAGGAGAUCUGGGCUGAAGUGCACUAUGUGGAUGAGGUGUCUGCAUCAAGUUCAGUGUCAGUAUUGUGACCUACAAGGAGCAGGGAGACACCAGGUUGUCUAAGGAAGAGUGAACAGGCUCAGGUCAGAAACAGAGCAGGUCAAAUUCCCUGUGCUGAUUAAUAGUGGGGUCGUAUAACCACUGAAACUGCAUUCCAGCCUGGCCAACAUAGCGAGAUCCCAUCUCU
RNAcentral lists this signal recognition particle RNA (297 nucleotides) under Carlito syrichta (Philippine tarsier). RNAcentral's name for it is "Metazoan signal recognition particle RNA (ENSTSYG00000030806.1)". It matches the Rfam family "Metazoan signal recognition particle RNA". From Rfam's summary of the family: The signal recognition particle (SRP) is a universally conserved ribonucleoprotein. It is involved in the co-translational targeting of proteins to membranes. The record is from RNAcentral. Lineage: Eukaryota; Metazoa; Chordata; Mammalia; Primates; Tarsiidae.